UUUUUUUUUUUUUUAAUUGAUCCACUUUGGGGAAUAAUAAUAACUCCAAAAAGUAAUGCUGAUUUUUCUUUGACUUAUUAAGACAAAUAUGGUUUCCUCUUCAUGAGUGUAGGAUGUGACACUCAAUUUAAGCACAUUUGGAAUAUGUUUAAAAAUAGAACUAAUUCCAUGAUACUGUCAUUUUAUUUUACAGUCAGGUUUUCCUAGUGCUUUGCCUUUAGUUCCUGGAUUACUAAAGAUUUAGAUGGAUUUAAAGCUAAUGUCUCCAGAUAGUCAUUAUGCUAUUUAUUUGGUUUUGCUAACCUAAAUGUAUAAAGCUAUAUAUAGCAUUUGCCUUUAACUCAGAUGCAAAAAGAACCUCAUACAUAAAUUUUAGAGUGUAGAUAAAUUGAGUGGAUAAUAAAUGCUGGGAAAGGAGGAAAGAUUAACACGAUGACCAUGACAAAGCAAGCCCAGAACUGUGAUGUGUGUGAGAAUUGAUGGCGUAUGUGUGUUUAUUUUUCUCAACUAUGAUAUCUUAGAACAUUUACUUUUUCUUCCUUGUCCUUAGAAAACAUGGCUUUUUUUUUUUUUUUUUUUUUUUUUUGUCUUUUUGCUAUUUCUUGGGCCGCUCCCACGGCAUAUGGAGAUGCCCAGGCUAGGGGUCGAAUCGGAGCUGUAGCCACCGGCCUACACCAGAGCCUCAGCAAUGCAGGAUCCGAGCCGUGUCUGCAACCUACACCACAGCUCACGGCAACGCCGGAUCGUUAACCCACUGAGCAAGGGCAGGGACCGAACCCGCAACCUCAUGGUUCCUAGUCGGAUUCGUUAACCACUGCGCCAUGACGGGAACUCCAGGCCAGAAUGAAAUAAGCUGAUGGAUCUGUUUUAAAAACUAUAUAUGUCCACAUAAUAGAGAUAGGAAAGUUGGAUGAAUGAAUGUGGUUCUUGAGCAAAGAGUAAGAGCUCUUCCUUUUUGUUGAGUUAAAUGAUUUACUUCAGAGAGUAGCUUGGAAGAUUAUGCCUGGAAAUGUAGUGAUUGAGGGAAAAAAAUCCAUUUGAAGUUAAGUGUAGGCCAUGGUAUGUUAGCAUGGUAUACUGCUGUUUAGAUUAAAAGGGAAGCUAGGCAAGUGCAAGGACAAAACUAAUGUUUGCUGUUCCCUCAGGAGCAGCUUUAAGGUGUAUGCUAUUCCUGCUCUGCUGUUAAUUAGUUAUGGCUGUGAAGUUGGAGAAAGAAAGGAAAAGGUAUGAAUACUAAUAGAUCAAACCCGUGGGGAAUUGAGCACAUUUUGUGUCUAUGUGGAGUAUCUUUAACUCCUAUACUUUUGUUUCAUACUGUUAAGUACAGUAGAAUGGAAGAAAUGUCAGUAUUUUCUUAGAGCAGUGAUAUUAUCAACUCCAUUUCACCACUGUCCCCACUUCUGACCUUCUCUCAUCUCAAGGCUCCCACCCUUUGCAAAUAAUCAUGAACUUUGUUAAAUGGCCCUCAGGAUACCUGGUUUUGCAAGGGACUUCAGUGUUUCUUUGCGAUCUAACACAAUUAAAGGUUUUUGUCUCUGUAGAUUACCAGAUGUUAUUUAGUGGAUACAUACUCUUUUGUGACACCGAUAUAAAAAAAAAGAAGUGUGCUCUGAAACUUUGGAUUAAGUCAGACAUGAGUUCUAAACACUCACAGUGGCCACUGCCAUUGGCUAAAUAUAAUACUGUGCUGUGUGACUUCAUUUUAAGAAAUAAUUAGGAUUUCUCUUUGUUAGACUAGAUAAAUGUUGAGUUCUUUUCCUCCUCCCAACUCUGUUAUAGAACAAAUGAACAUGAGUUUUAUGUCUUUUCUUUGCUCUGGAAAGUGAAGUCAGUCUUUUUAGGUUGUUGAGUAGUUUGGGAGAGCCCGGCUAUGCCUGAAUUUGUUUGAAGAUAAAUGUACAUAGUGUUUAAUAUAUUCAUUGUCCUCCAGGCCCAUUAAUGCCACCCUCUAUAGGGAGAAGUGAAAGUAAAAAAGGAAUGCUUUCCACACACUACCCUGAGGCUGUUCUUUGACCUUUGAUUUAGAAUUAUUAGUAAUUGAUAUUUAUUUACAUUUAACUCUCUAAUAAAAUGUAGUAAAAGAAAAGUAGUACUGAUAUUGAAAGGCAGUAGAUUCAAGUUGGAUGUGAUAGUAAACAAUUUCUCUGAGCCUGGUUUGUCUAUGAACUUGGGAAAAGAAAGGCCCCUUCUAUUCUCACUUUUAUUAACCCUGAGAAACAAGGAAGAUAUAUCCACUUUAAGCAACUUUCUUUAGCCUUGGCACUGAGUAUGUGUGCAUACCUAUAAUAGGUGUUUUUUUAAAAAACAAACCACCCUGGAAUUCCCUUGUGGUGCAGCAAGUUAAGGAUCUGGCACUGUCACUGCAGCAGCUCUGAUCACUGCUGUGGUGUGGGCUCAGUCCCUCGCCUGGGAAUUUCCACAUGUUGCAGGCAUG
RNAcentral lists this long non-coding RNA (2434 nucleotides) under Sus scrofa (pig). RNAcentral's name for it is "lncRNA (ENSSSCG00030001932.1)". Lineage: Eukaryota; Metazoa; Chordata; Mammalia; Artiodactyla; Suidae. The record is from RNAcentral.